Molecule: ribosomal RNA, 483 nt
Filed under: uncultured bacterium
Lineage: Bacteria
Description: partial 16S ribosomal RNA
Rfam family: Bacterial small subunit ribosomal RNA
Source: RNAcentral
AUUGAACGCUGGCGGCAUGCUUUACACAUGCAAGUCGAACGGCAGCGCGGGCUUCGGCCUGGCGGCGAGUGGCGAACGGGUGAGUAAUGCAUCGGAACGUGCCCAGUAGUGGGGGAUAGCCCGGCGAAAGCCGGAUUAAUACCGCAUACGACCUGAGGGUGAAAGCGGGGGACCGAAAGGCCUCGCGCUAUUGGAGCGGCCGAUGUCGGAUUAGCUAGUUGGUGGGGUAAAGGCUUACCAAGGCGACGAUCCGUAGCUGGUCUGAGAGGACGACCAGCCACACUGGGACUGAGACACGGCCCAGACUCCUACGGGAGGCAGCAGUGGGGAAUUUUGGACAAUGGGGGCAACCCUGAUCCAGCCAUGCCGCGUGCGGGAAGAAGGCCUGCGGGUUGUAAACCGCUUUUGUUCGGGAAGAAAUCCUCUGGGCUAAUACCCCGGGGGGAGGACGGUACCGGAAGAAUAAACACCGGCUAACUACGU